Molecule: long non-coding RNA, 311 nt
Filed under: Sus scrofa (pig)
Lineage: Eukaryota; Metazoa; Chordata; Mammalia; Artiodactyla; Suidae
Description: lncRNA (ENSSSCG00025053363.1, ENSSSCG00035011408.1)
Source: RNAcentral
GGGCGGUGACUGCAGAGCCUGCCCUGUGCAGAAGCAUCUGAGCAAUUUCUCAAGCCCCUAGGCUUAGCAGCUGCACCAGGCACCUCAAGGCUGGAGUUUACACGAGGAGCCCCCAGUCUCCGCCCACUUGCGCCCCUGCUGUGCACGCCCAGCACCAGGACCCUCCCUACCCUGACCUGGGCUGUGAGAGCAGCAAAAGUCCAGAGUCCCCACCUGGGCAGCCUCGCCGCGGCCCCUGCUCCGGGACCCUGUCCCCAGCGCCUCCACGGUUAAUGCCGCAAGUUCCAAGCCAGCACCGUCUCUGCUAAGAU